UCAUUAACACGUAUCCAACGUUCAACAACCAUGAACCUUCAUGUUUCGUGUGCUUGUAGUUGCCCACUCACAUGAGUCAAUCUGUGCACGUGAGUUACCAGACAUCCUCGAAGUUAAAAAGUAAGACAGCAAGUGAAGGACAAUUUCUUGACUGACAUCGUUGGAUCGAGUGGGUGAGAUUCCUGUUGGUCUUGGAAAUCGGUGCAUCGGACCUCAUCUCACUGUUGGAUAUAUUG
RNAcentral lists this unclassified non-coding RNA (236 nucleotides) under fungal sp. RNAcentral's name for it is "partial internal transcribed spacer region". Lineage: Eukaryota; Fungi. The record is from RNAcentral.